Molecule: RNA transcript, 1065 nt
Organism: Nematostella vectensis (starlet sea anemone)
Lineage: Eukaryota; Metazoa; Cnidaria; Anthozoa; Actiniaria; Edwardsiidae
Exons: 2
Source: RefSeq, a predicted model, not a curated record
UGUUUAUGUACGUGAAACAUUAUCUGAAAUCGAUUUGGCCAAAAUCAUCCAUGUACGUGAAAUCGAUUUGGCCCACAUUAGCUUUUGCCGAUUGUUCAUGUACGUGAAACAUUAUACGCUCGAUAUUUAGAGACGGAGCUAAGGGGGCUCGGAGGGAAGAUUCGCGUCUCCCAAGCCUAAGACGGGAGACGGGGCUGGGAGGCCCGGAGGGGCGAUCCACGCCUCCCACCAGUUCCUCUGAAACCCCCCAGUCCCCCCCUUCAGGUCACUCGCAUCGGGCUUUACCCGAGACAACAUUUGGCAGCAUCUAGUGUUUUUGUAUGAAAAUGAAAAGUUCCAAGUUUACAAGAACAAUGUCUUACAUGGGUGAAAAGUAGCUUCAGUUAUCGCUUCCUUAAACCCGGCAGAUAGCAGUGCUCUGCUCAGUAGGUCACUCGCAUCGGGCUUUACCCGUGACAACACUUGGCAGCAUCUAGUGUUUUUGUAUGGAAAUGAAAGGUUCCAAGUUUACAAGAACAAAGUCUUACAAGAGGAGAAAGUAGUUUUAGGUAUCUCUUCCUUACGCCCGGAUGGUAGUAUUUUAGUGAUUGGCCAACAUCAGGGAUCUGUAGGGAGAGACUUUGACCCUUCGAAGCUGUUCUACGGCUACAUGGCAAACCUAAAUAUCUGGACAUAUGAUCUUGAUGAUUCGAAUAGGGGCAAAGUGUACGAGCAAGGGUGUACAGGCUCAGUUUACAGCAACCCAGCCUUGUCAUGGGGGACAAUUACCGGUAAAACGCUAUUGGGCAACAUACAACCACAAUGCGCACUAACAUGCCCUUAAACGUCAAGACGAUUUGAUUGACAAUGCACUGUUCUCAAUACGAGAAAUGGGCGUUCACGAUUUCCUCUUCUAGGAACCAAACAUUUGAUUAUCUGACGUCAAAUGACGAAAGACAGCUUGCCUAAGGCAAGUCCCUUUUAUAGUGCGAGUUCGUGUUUAAAGUUAUGCCUAUUGCACACCAGUGACAUAACAACAUAGGCGCGCGCACUCUUUUAAGCCCGACAUAACGACAUGGACAUUAU